GGCGAUCAGAUACCGCCCUAGUUCUGACCGUAAACGAUGCCAACUAGCGAUCCGCCAGUCGACUCAUCGCUCUGGUGGGGAGCUUCCCGGAAACGAAAGUCUUCCGGUUCCGGGGGAAGUAUGGUUGCAAAGCUGAAACUUAAAGGAAUUGACGGAAGGGCACCACCAGGAGUGGAGCCUGCGGCUUAAUUUGACUCAACACGGGGAAACUCACCCGGCCCGGACACCGUAAGGAUUGACAGAUUGAUAGCUUUUUCAUGAUUCGGUGGAUGGUGGUGCAUGGCCGUUCUUAGUUCGUGGAGCGAUUUGUCUGGUUUAUUCCGAUAACGAGCGAGACUCUGGCCUACUAAAUAGUUGGCACAUUGCCACUGUGCGCACAACUUCUUAGAGGGAUUUUCGGUGUUUUCAACCGCACGAAAUUGAGCAAUAACAGGUCUGUGAUGCCCUUAGAUGUCCGGGGCUGCACGCGCGCUACACUGGCAAACGCAACGUGCCUGUCCUGCCCCGAAAGGAGCGGGUAAACCCCUGAAAUUUUGCCGUGAUUGGGAUCGGACAUUGCAACUAUUGUCCGUGAACGAGGAAUUCCUUGUAGGGGCGAGUCAUCAACUCGUCCCGAAUACGUCCCUGCCCUUGUA
RNAcentral lists this ribosomal RNA (635 nucleotides) under Rotylenchulus reniformis. RNAcentral's name for it is "SSU rRNA". It matches the Rfam family "Eukaryotic small subunit ribosomal RNA", at positions 1003 to 1664 of the family's 1831-position model. The record is from RNAcentral. Lineage: Eukaryota; Metazoa; Nematoda; Chromadorea; Rhabditida; Hoplolaimidae.